Molecule: long non-coding RNA, 677 nt
Organism: Peromyscus leucopus (white-footed mouse)
Lineage: Eukaryota; Metazoa; Chordata; Mammalia; Rodentia; Cricetidae
Exons: 3
Source: RefSeq, a predicted model, not a curated record
UCAAGGUAACCAGGGAAACCAAGAGACCAACCAGGAAACCAAGAGACCAAUCGGGAAACCAAGAGACUAACCGGGAAACCAAGAGACCAACCGGGAAACCAAGAGACCAACCGGGAAACCAAGAGACCAACCGGGGAAACAGAGACCAUGUUCUGGUUCGAGUCUCAAGGUCUCCUACAGGUUCAUGUUUUGAAAGCUUGUCCCCAGCUGGGGGCUCUAAGCUGCUGCUCAGCUCACAGGGGAGGGUGAACCAGCGAGACCUCCUUAGCUUAAACUUCUUCCCUCGAAAACUGUGAGCUAUAGAAGCUUAUUUUCAUUAUAAGCCUAUAGAAGGACAGGGAAGAAGGACGCUUCACUCUUUGCCUGCUGGCUCUCACCAUUCGAGCAAGUCAUCUAUUGGAUUCUUGGAACUUCCACUUCAUUAGUCAUUGUUGGAUUAGCUAGACCACAAUCUUUACAACAACUAUUGUAAUGAAGUAUUUGGACCACUAAGUGUUGAAUGACAACUUUAAGAAGUAAUUGAAGCUGGGUGUGGUUUCCUGGCUGUCAUCUCCACACUGAGGAGGCUGAGGCAGGAGGAUUAAGAGUUUGAGACUGCACAUCAAGAUCUUGUCUUAAAAAGAAAAACAUAAUUAUGCAAAUACAAAGUCAAAUUGUACUCUGUGGACCUAAUUAUU